Molecule: ribosomal RNA, 467 nt
Filed under: uncultured bacterium
Lineage: Bacteria
Description: partial 16S ribosomal RNA
Rfam family: Bacterial small subunit ribosomal RNA
Source: RNAcentral
GACGAACGCUGGCGGCGUGCUUAACACAUGCAAGUCGAACGGAAAGGCCCUGCUUUUGUGGGGUGCUCGAGUGGCGAACGGGUGAGUAACACGUGAGUAACCUGCCCUUGACUUUGGGAUAACUUCAGGAAACUGGGGCUAAUACCGGAUAGGAGCUCCUGCUGCAUGGUGGGGGUUGGAAAGUUUCGGCGGUCGGGGAUGGACUCGCGGCUUAUCAGCUUGUUGGUGGGGUAGUGGCUUACCAAGGCUUUGACGGGUAGCCGGCCUGAGAGGGUGACCGGCCACAUGGGGACUGGGGUACGGCCCGGCCUCCUCCGGGGGGCAGCGGUGGGGAAUUUUGCAAAAGGGGCGGAGGCCGGAUGCAGCAACCCCGGGGGGGGGGUGACGGCCUUCGGGUGGUAAACCCCUUUCGCCUGGAACGAAGCGUGGGUGACGGUAAUGGGUAAAAAAGCACCGGUUAACUCCGU